AGAGUUUGAUCCUGGCUCAGAGCGAACGCUGGCAGCAGGCUUAACACAUGCAAGUCGAACGGGCGUAGCAAUACGUCAGUGGCAGACGGGUGAGUAACGCGUGGGAACGUACCUUUUGGUUCGGAACAGCUGAGGGAAACUUCAGCUAAUACCGAAUAAGCCCUUACGGGGAAAGAUUUAUCGCCGAAAGAUCGGCCCGCGUCUGAUUAGCUUGUUGGUGAGGUAACGGCUCACCAAGGCGACGAUCAGUAGCUGGUCUGAGAGGAUGAUCAGCCACAUUGGGACUGAGACACGGCCCAAACUCCUACGGGAGGCAGCAGUGGGGAAUAUUGGACAAUGGGCGAAAGCCUGAUCCAGC
This 358-nucleotide ribosomal RNA is filed under the name uncultured bacterium. RNAcentral describes it as "bacterial SSU rRNA". It matches the Rfam family "Bacterial small subunit ribosomal RNA", at positions 8 to 392 of the family's 1533-position model. The record is from RNAcentral.